Molecule: long non-coding RNA, 1251 nt
Filed under: Salmo trutta (river trout)
Lineage: Eukaryota; Metazoa; Chordata; Actinopteri; Salmoniformes; Salmonidae
Description: lncRNA (ENSSTUG00000050305.1)
Source: RNAcentral
AAAAAAAAAAAAAACAACAACCCCAAACAACAACAAAACAAAAAUUCCCCCCUACUAAAGGGAGGGAAGGGAGGGUGGCUGCCGUCAACGACGGCACUGUGCCCUCCCCAACCCACCUAUAUCUGGAGGGGGCUCCAGUUCUGGCCGUUCCAGGCAGUCGGGGCAGUCUGGCAGCUCGGGGCAGUCUGGCCGCUCGGGGCAGUUUGGCCGCUCUGGCAGCUCGGGGCAGUCUGGCCGCUCUGGCAGCUCGGGGCAGUCUGGCCGCUCUGGCAGCUCGGGGCAGUCUGGCAGCUCGGGGCAGUCUGGCCGCUCGGGGCAGUCUGGCCGCUCGGGGCAGUUUGGCCGCUCUGGCAGCUCGGGGCAGUCUGGCCGCUCUGGCCGCUCGGGGCAGUUUGGCCGCUCUGGCAGCUCGGGGCAGUCUGGCCGCUCUGGCAGCUCGGGGCAGUCUGGCCGCUCUGGCAGCUCGGGGCAGUCUGGCCGCUCUGGCAGCUCGGGGCAGUCUGGCCGCUCUGGCAUCUCCGGGCAGUCUGGCCACUCUGGCAUCUCCGGGCAGUCUGGCCCCUCUGGCAUCUCCGGGCAGUCUGGCCACUCUGGCAUCUCCGGGCAGUCUGGCCACUCUGGCAUCUCCGGGCAGUCUGGCCACUCUGGCAUCUCCGGGCAGUCUGGCCACUCUGGCAUCUCCGGGCAGUCUGGCCACUCUGGCAUCUCCGGGCAGUCUGGCCACUCUGGCAUCUCCGGGCAGUCUGGCCACUCUGGCAGCUCCUGACUAGUGGGUGCCUCUGGCGACUCUUCACUGACGGGCGGCUCUGGCGAUUCCUCACUGACGGGCGGCUCUGGCGACUCUUGACUGACGGGCAGUUCUGGCGACUCUUGACUGACGGGCAGUUCUGGCGACUCUUGACUGACGGGCAGUUCUGGCGACUCUUGACUGACGGGCAGUUCUGGCGACUCUUGACUGACGGGCAGUUCUGGCGACUCUUGACUGAUGGACAGUUCUGGCGACUCUUGACUGACGGGCAGCUCUGGCGACUCUUGACUGACGGGCAGCUCUGGCGACGUCGGACUGCGAUGACGCACUUGAAGCCUGGUGCGUGGUGCUGGUACUGGACGUACCAGAUUGGGAACACGCACCUCCAGGCUAGUGCGGGGAGCGGGAACAGGACGAGUCGGACUGGGCUGACGUACUUCCGGGUCCGCACGAGAGACAGGAGCUGGAAACCUAGGGCUAUGGAGGCGCACAGGCGGUCUUGA